Eptesicus fuscus (big brown bat) is the source of this 595-nucleotide long non-coding RNA. RefSeq lists it as uncharacterized. The record is from RefSeq and is a predicted model, not a curated record. Lineage: Eukaryota; Metazoa; Chordata; Mammalia; Chiroptera; Vespertilionidae. The transcript is spliced from 4 exons.
GGGGAUGCAGAGUCAGUCUCUGGGAGAGCAGGCUGCGCCAAGGAGCCCUCUUGCGUCUGUCUCCCCUCGUUCUGAGACCCACCCGCUCUAACCCUCUGAGAGGUCCUCUAGGACCUGGAAGAGCAGGGACGUCGAAGGAAGAGAGUCGCUGCCCCUCAGCCUGCCGGCCACCCUCUCAGCCUGGUGUGCUCUGCCUUGGGUGUGGCUUUGGGCUCAGCCCCACCUCACACAGCCUCGGUCCCAGGAGGACAGGAAGGAGGCAGCUGGCAGGUGGAUGGCCGCGGAUGCUGAGCCCUCAGGAUAAAAAUACUCCGCUCAUUAAUCAGAUGGCCGGUUCCAGCCUGGCAGGGGCACACAGGAAUGAGAGCCCGCGGUCCUGGUCUCUUGCCCUGAAAUACUCCAAGCCCUGGAAGAGUCCCUCUCCCCUCUGAGCCCGAGGUCAGCUUGGGGGUGAGGAGAAUCUUCCCACAAGGAGAAGCUGGGGAAGGCGCUCUGCAGCCUCUUCCGGCCACAAGAAUGUUCCAGCCAGAAUAGCCUGCUUGACCCAACAGGGGCAGGUGGGGAGCAAGGGAGCCGAGGAAGAGCGAGGUCGGAG